This 279-nucleotide ribosomal RNA is filed under the name uncultured bacterium. RNAcentral's name for it is "partial 16S ribosomal RNA". It matches the Rfam family "Bacterial small subunit ribosomal RNA", at positions 506 to 784 of the family's 1533-position model. The record is from RNAcentral.
UGCCAGCCGCCGCGGUAAUACGAAGGGUGCUAGCGUUAUUCGGAAUUAUUGGGCGUGAAGGGCGCGCAGGCGGUCUUGUCCGUCAGGUGUGAAAGCUCGGGGCUCAACCCCGGAAGUGCACUUGAAACAGCAAGACUUGAAUACCGGAGGGGCUCAGAGAAUUCCCGGUGUAGGGGUGAAAUUCGCAGAUAUCGGGAGGAAUACCAGUGGCGAAGGCGCUGGGCUGGACGGUUAUUGACGCUGAGGUGCGAAAGCGUGGGGAGCAAACAGGAUUAGAUA